RNAcentral lists this small RNA (127 nucleotides) under Marmota monax (woodchuck). The record is from RNAcentral. Lineage: Eukaryota; Metazoa; Chordata; Mammalia; Rodentia; Sciuridae.
GCCGGGUGUGGUGGUGCACACCUGUAAUCCCAGCAUCUUGGGAAGCUGAGGCAGGAUGAUUCCAAGUUGAAAGCCAGCCUCAGAAAUUUUUCCAGGCCCCAAGCAACUUAGUGAGACCCUGUCUCAA